This is a long non-coding RNA of Stegastes partitus (bicolor damselfish), 168 nucleotides long. RefSeq lists it as uncharacterized. NCBI's taxonomy places the organism in Eukaryota, Metazoa, Chordata, Actinopteri, Pomacentridae. The transcript has 2 exons. The record is from RefSeq and is a predicted model, not a curated record.
GAUGAUGAGAUGGUUCAUGUCUGCAGUCGUCCUCCUUGAUCAGAUUACAGCUUUUCUACUGUCAGAGGUGCUGACAGGAAAACAGGACAAAUGUUUUCUAUCUGUGUCACAAAAACCUUUUCAGAGUUCAUUUUAAUACACCAACUCAAACCAACCAUCAGGGACACA